This 231-nucleotide ribosomal RNA is filed under the name uncultured bacterium. RNAcentral describes it as "partial 16S ribosomal RNA". It matches the Rfam family "Bacterial small subunit ribosomal RNA", at positions 111 to 334 of the family's 1533-position model. The record is from RNAcentral.
UAAUACAUAAGUGACCUGCCCUAGACAGGGGGAGUAACUAUUGGAAACGAUAGCUAAGACCGCAUAGGUACGGACACUGCAUGGUGACCGUAUUAAAAGUGCCUCAAAGCACUGGUAGAGGAUGGACUUAUGGCGCAUUAGCUGGUUGGCGGGGUAACGGCCCACCAAGGCGACGAUGCGUAGCCGACCUGAGAGGGUGACCGGCCGCACUGGGACUGAGACACGGCCCAG